RNAcentral lists this ribosomal RNA (103 nucleotides) under Morganella morganii. Its description in RNAcentral is "partial 16S ribosomal RNA". It matches the Rfam family "Bacterial small subunit ribosomal RNA", at positions 1431 to 1533 of the family's 1533-position model. Lineage: Bacteria; Pseudomonadati; Pseudomonadota; Gammaproteobacteria; Enterobacterales; Morganellaceae. RNAcentral also lists the same sequence under 1 other name. The record is from RNAcentral.
UAGCUUAACCUCCGGGAGGGCGCUUACCACUUUGUGAUUCAUGACUGGGGUGAAGUCGUAACAAGGUAACCGUAGGGGAACCUGCGGUUGGAUCACCUCCUUA